Molecule: ribosomal RNA, 253 nt
Filed under: uncultured bacterium
Lineage: Bacteria
Description: partial 16S ribosomal RNA
Rfam family: Bacterial small subunit ribosomal RNA
Source: RNAcentral
UACAGAGGGUGCAAGCGUUAAUCGGAAUUACUGGGCGUAAAGCGUGCGUAGACGGUUAUUUAAGUCAGGUGUGAAAGCCCCGGGCUCAACCUGGGAAUUGCAUUUGAGACUGAAUAGCUAGGGUGCGGAAGAGGGAAGCGGAAUUUCCGGUGUAGCGGUGAAAUGCGUAGAUAUCUGGAGGAACACCGGUGGCGAAGGCGGCAUCCUGGACCAACACUGACGCUGAUGAGCGAAAGCCAGGGGAGCAAACGGG